Molecule: long non-coding RNA, 615 nt
Filed under: Zalophus californianus (California sea lion)
Lineage: Eukaryota; Metazoa; Chordata; Mammalia; Carnivora; Otariidae
Description: lncRNA (ENSZCAG00015016851.1)
Source: RNAcentral
AUAUGGAAGAGGGGCUGGGACUCAACAGGCCCGGUAAUAGAGACUCAGUGAGCCCUUCCUCGAUCGGCCAUUUUCUCUGCACCGCAGAACAGAGGGCCUGCUGGUUGCCAUGGAGACGGACUUGCAGGCAGAGCCGCUGCAGGUCUCAGUCUGUGCUCCCGUGAUGAAGGGACCGCGGUACACGCAGCAGAGAAGAGGGAUCAAAGGGCCUGCAAGGGGCUGGCAAGGGGACUGCGGGGCGCACCGGGCCACUGGGGGCGCGGCCUUGCUUGCCACCUACAACAGACAAAGCCGACCCGGGAGAAGCAGCAGAGGUAGGGGACAGAUGCUGAUCGCUGAGGAAGAUGGACUGCAGGUAUGCAGCAGGCCCAGAACCAAGGUAAGAAGAUGCCCCGGUCACCAAUUUAAGAGAAGAGUGAAGAGCAGAGGAUUAAUAUGAUCAGUGACUAUGCACCAGAAUACAGCUGCAACCCUAAAGAACUGCUAAGAAGUCAUAAAGUUAAAUGUGGAAUGAGAUUCUUAUGACAGCCUUUAUAGUUUUUUGUUUGGGUUUUGUUUUUGUAGUGAGAUUUUAUUUAAGCAACCACUAUGAAAUUUUUUCAUUAUUCACUUAGG